CAAGAUGGCGGCUCGACUCAAACACGGAAUUAGACCUAAAGUGCUUGGCUGGAAACUUUCAGUAACAACCGAGGGGAAAGAGGAGGACGCCUUCGUAGAUGGAGUUUUAAAGAGUUCGACCGCCUCUCUGAAACUGUAUUUCGGAAACAGGAGGCUUCUGUGGCAAACAAGGACUGCCAUAAAAUCGUAGACCUGUGGCCGGUGAUCGAGCGUUCGAUAAAAAGAACACACGACGGUAUUCAUCGCCCUAUUAUCGCUGCUUUAGCAGAGAAAUCCCGAGAGAAGUUCGAAGUCAUGAAAACAAGCACGACCAAACUGGGGAUUGGGAGCAAUUCAAGCACCACUUGAAGAAGAACCAAGAAGAGAGGAGGAGCAAAAUAAUGAGGAGGAGAGGUCACGCAGGCCACGAGUGUUGACAGAAGGACAAAGAGCUCGGAAGAGAGCGCGUGACCUUGUACUCACCGAGGAGCAAAGAGUGCGAAAAAGACAGACGAGCUCCGAGUACAGGUUAAGUGGUAAGCAAAGAGUCCGGAAAAAGCAAAAGGACUCGGAGUACGAACUAGAUGACAAGCAGAGAGCUCGUAAAGAGGCAGAGAAACUUAGAAACGCUCAACGCCCAGCGUACAAUGAUGGCAGAAGACAGCUUGUUUGCUCAAAGGCAAAGAGAAAGGGCUCGUGAGCGACAGAGGGUGUCUAGACUCAGGAGAAAACAACAAAGGCAGCCCUCCACUACUACCGCUUUUGUUGCAAGACAAACUCAAAAACUUGAGAAUACAGCUCAUGGAAAUGGCCUGAAUGGAAGAAAAUUAAACUCGGUGGAAUCGUACUCAUCUUUGCUGAGUAAUUAUUUAUUGAUUUCUGACUUAUAUAACAAAGCUUUAUUGUCAAUGUAGUGAAAUAUUGGUGGCCCCGUGGCAUCUUGUCAUAGAAUGUCUAUUUCAAUCUCAUCCUCGCUGUCUUCCUUUGGUGCCGAUGCCUUUAGGGUUAUCACCUAAAAGAGCCAAACAAGACAAGACAAAUUACCUAUUUGAAGUCAACAAGUGUUUAUAUUCCAGGACCCAUAACAAACUGUACCCACAAAGGUGGCAAACACAUUGGGGUUCAGGCAAGCUGGGGAUUAGUUCCUACUUUCCAGGCUGGGGUAAAAAAAGAGAUCACAACAUUGGAAAAAACAGAAAAGAGUGAAUUCGGUAGUGGUAAAACUGUUAGGAUAUAGGCCUUAGAAAAUGUCAAUAGACUCCCUACAAUAUAAACUAAUUUGUCCUCCCAGAAAAAAAAUAAUAGUUCAUAUUGACAGGAAUAUUAUUUAAAUGAUAUAAGGAAGUUGGUUAGUUAGAAGUUGCACAAAGUCAUUGUUUACUUUUAUUACAUACCUCCUCUUUUUGAAAGAGGCCACUUCUCUUCUCCUUCUCCAUCUGGCGAUGCACACGACCUAGUACUCCUUUUGGUUUCUUGGAUUUCUUAGAAAUACGCUUCGUACUUAGUGGCUGGCGUGACCUCUGUUAACACAAUAUAAAAAAAAAAACAUUACUACUUUUAACAAUGCUAUGUAAUGGGUCCCCAACAUGACCCAUGUCCUUUUUUGUCAAUGAGUUCCAAGGUUGUUAUUAUCACUUAAUUUGCUGCAAAACAUGCAUUCAAAAUUCCUGCCAAAAAUCCACUCAACCAAUCAGAACCAACACAAGCACAAAUCCGCAGGAAACCCCCACGACCAUGGGAACUUUUUCACAUAGUUUAUCAGUCUCUAUACCUAUUAAUGGUGCCUUGUUUGCACCGUGUAGUAGCUACAGUACCUGCGCUAUAAUCACAGUAAGUAGGUUGUUUGGAAAUUCUUACCUUAGAAUGCUUUCUGUGUGUUAGACUUGUACUUGAAUUCCGACUGCACUUACUUCUUCUUAACGCUACACCAUCAAAGAACAGUAAGAGAAUAUUUAAUUGCUAGUGCAUAUUCAGUGUAAAGUUAGAAAUACAAUACUCCAACCAUUGUUCUCAUGGCAACAUCAAUUUCUUUAAGUUGAUGGGCAAUAAAAAAAGUUUACUUAUUAGGAGUUACAUAUACGUACUGUAAGCAGGGGUUUCAUUAAGUUUCAGUGUAGGCGGUGGAGAUUGAUAAGUAGGGGGUAGAAGUUAUUUUAUUUUAUAACUUCAAAUACAACUUAAUUAAAUUUUCUAUUACAGUAGCAGACGCUCUGUGCAAAAUAGCUGGCAGAUCAGCAGUCCUCUCCGGGGCCUCUCAAGUGGACUGUCUGAAGGUGGGAUUUGUUUUGUAUUUUCUAGCCCUGGACAAAACAUGUCACAACAGCUUGGGGCUACUCACCAGAGCAACGAUUACAAUCAUUUACAUUCAACCUCUGACAAACAUAUUGUUGAAUUCUCUGGAAUUUGCUAUCGUUAAAAGCAUCAAGAUCUGCAAAGAACAAAAAACAAUUAUAAACAUGAUAGGUGAAUGCUGAAUUAGCAACCACAUCAGUGCAGAUUUUGCCCACUAGCACAAAAGAAAUAUUUUUCAUCAUCUAUAGAAUGUACACAACUUUCAAUGCAAUAUGGAUAAAAUAGAAUUGACUUUUUCCAUCAAUUUUGAAUGCCUAUAUAUAACAACAGUCUUGUUCUUACCUAUAACGAACUCUGUGUCUGUGGGAAGCACCCUAGCACUUGGGCUGAUGAUUCUAAUGAUCUCUAACUGGUCAUGCAAACCUAAGGUUGUCGAGGCCAAUCUUGUGAGGUACUCUAUGGCUUCCAUUUGGUCAUCAGAUGUCAUAUCAUUCCUAUAGAGACAGACAGAAAUGGACACAGCUUUUGAUUGUGAAAGCCAGUCAAGAGGCAGGGCCCUGCCAUCUUAAACUCACCUCUGUCUUUGGAAAAGGAUCAAAGUCUUCAUCAUUUAUGUCUAUAAAGCUGUCAUCUGAGAUCUCCGAAGUCACAGACGUCCCACAUGAUGUUGUUGCCGAUAUCGAUUCACUGUAUAUAAAAUCCCUCUCUGAAAACCCUUGCUCACUAAAACAAAUAGGAGUGACAUAGUAAGUUUGGCGAGCACCCUUUAUACCCGAAUACAUGGUCCCACCACGAGGUCUGGUGAAUACAUGGUCCCACCACGAGGUCUGGUGAAUACAUGGUCCCACCACGAGGUCUGGUGAAUACAUGGUCCCACCACGAGGUCUGGUGAAUACAUGGUCCCACCACGAGGUCUGGUGAAUACAUGGUCCCACCACGAGGUCUGGUGAAUACAUGGUCCCACCACGAGGUCUGGUGAAUACAUGGUCCCACCACGAGGUCUGGUGAAUAUAGGUCCCUCCCAGUUCAGUGCCUACACCAAGCAUCGCAUAUACAAGUAGCACAUACAGUAUACUAUUUUAUUCUCAACCCACAAAGUAAUAACACCUAUUAGAAAAUAACACCAGUGAGUCUCAUGUGCUGAUUGGUCGAGAGCUUCAAAUGAGCAUGUCUGUAAAAAACAGUACAGACACGCUUUUGAUUGCAAAUAAUACAACACCUCCGCCUUGUGACUUUCAAGUUUUUUAUCAAUUCUCCCAACGCCGCAGACACGCUUUUGACGGCAAAUAACGCAACACCUCCGCCUUGUGACUUUCAAGUUUUUUAUUAAUUUUCCCAACAUCCGCCGUGUGUCUGUAAAAACCUAGACAGACACUGGAUAUACGUUUUAUUGCUUAACUUUAGUAUGCAUAUGGGUUAAAUUACUGUAACCAUACUUUCAAGAUACUUUUGUGAGAUG
Nematostella vectensis (starlet sea anemone) is the source of this 3730-nucleotide RNA transcript. It is a transcript of the gene named vicilin-like seed storage protein At2g18540, with no coding region annotated. The record is from RefSeq and is a predicted model, not a curated record. The transcript has 4 exons. NCBI's taxonomy places the organism in Eukaryota, Metazoa, Cnidaria, Anthozoa, Actiniaria, Edwardsiidae.